This is a non-coding RNA of Myodes glareolus (Bank vole), 2421 nucleotides long. The record is from RefSeq and is a predicted model, not a curated record. Lineage: Eukaryota; Metazoa; Chordata; Mammalia; Rodentia; Cricetidae.
CUCUUUAUAGGCAAUAAAUGUUCUUUUAAAAAAAAAUAACCAAAAGGAAAAAAUAUCUUAACUGCAUGUAAACUAAUGUAAAUCUCCCAUUGCCUCCACAGCUAGAUGGGUGGAAAAGAGGUAAAAAGGCAUUUUACGGAGUCCACAGGGAAUUCUGAGAGUAAAUCCAGAAACAAAUUGAUUUGUGUUCAUUUUUCAUGCUGGUAACUCAUAGUGCUCAGACAUCGGUGUCAUAUACUAGGAGUGGAGGGGCCCCUCAGGGCUAACCCGGGUCCUAAUACUCCCACCCAGAGCAGGGAGCCUCUCUACUCUGCCAGAGAAAAGCAAGGGGCAUGUCAGCUCAGAGUGUGGGCAUGACAGUGUCUGUCUUUGGCCCCUGCCUCAUAGCAACAUCUCCCAAGUACAUGCCUAUUUACCACGCAGCCCCGCCCUGUUGAGACCCACAGAGCCAACCCUACCUGUGCCCUUUUUGGUGGUGAGGACUGCUUAGGACCUGUUCUCAGAUUGCUCAUAGCAGGUAUGGGAGACACGCCUGUCACCUCAGUACAUGCGCGCGCGCACACACACACACACAUACACAAAGAGAAUUCCUUGCCAACAGGGGAGAAGCAUGGAAGGCUGCGACCAUUCAGCCUGAUCCAGUUUUAUAGGAUCUAUAGGUCACCACAAAGGCCAAAGUUCUUUGAAGCACAUCCUGUCCCUUCUCAGAACAUGAGUCCCUCCGUUAGCCCUGCAGCUUCCCUUCCUUGUCAUAAACUACUGGCAAAGCUGAGGGAGCAUGUGAGGUUGGUGUCUCACCAACAGCCACGCAGCCUCUUUGACUGAUGACCAGCAAAGAGCCCAGCUAGGGUAGAGGAAGGCCACCGGCGGCAGCUCUCUCUCCUCCUCCACCAGGGAGCGGUCCUGGGACUAAGCUCUGGACAAGGACACAGAAAGUAAAGACUCUCUUAUCCCAACAGAAAAAGGGGGAGCUACGGCAGCCAUCCAGUGAGUGCAAGGUCAGGAGCAAGGAAGCCCAGAGAGGGUGACCCUGGGCUCUGCUGAAGAUGGCUGGUCAUGUGGCUGUCUCUUAGGAGUGGAGACUAGCCACCUCCAGUCUACUCUGAGACACACCUCUGCCCCUCUAGAUGGCUCAGGUCCCAUGGAUCCCACGUUCUCCAACAUGAAGCUGAACAUACCCUAACUAGUGCCGCCCUGCCAAUUUUAUGGUAGCCAAAUUCAUUCAUAGACACAUUUAUUUUGCAUCAAUUAGUGCAGGGCAUUGCAGAUGAUGCUGUUCGCCUCAGGGCAAACCUUCAUGGGGAGCACUGGUAGAUGAGGCUAAUUGUGAGACACACCCAAGUUCUGAGACCUGGUCUGGCACGUGAUACUCCAUCUUGACUGCCAACCUGACUGGAUCCAGAAUCAGCUAGAGAGAAACUUCUGGGAAUGCCUAAGAGGAACUUCCCUUGCCCUGUUUCUUUGACGUGGAAGAGCCGCCCCACAUAUGGGCAGCAGCUUCCGGUUAGAGCCUCCAUAAAGGAGGUCUGAGGAAACAACUUCGAUUUUCGCCGUACUGCCUUUAUGUCUUAUUGCUGACGUCAUCGGCUCGGCUGCCGCCACGACUGCAUCCCCUUGCUGGUACUGGAACUCAGUGUCUUCUGGCUCCCACUGCACACUGAAGACCACUGGCUUCCCAGGACUCCCCCGGCCCUUAGCACCAGAUGGGGACAGCCGAGGCAUCCAGCCUCGUGGACCGAGCAGCUUACUCGAGAGUUAAGCUUCUACAGUAUGAGAACGAGAACAGCUGCUAUUGGAUUACCCAGACUACAGCAAACAUCCCUGACUAUGUGUGAGGAAACGGGGUGUCUGGAGAGUUCUAUUUCGAGACGGGCAUUCGGGGAGAGAACACAGGGAAGGCUGCGUGGAGGAGGUGGCGUUAUGAACUAGGUCUGGAAAGGAGCCCAUGAUGGAGUGCUGCUGAGGUCCUGCUGGGGGAAUGUGGAAGAGGGCUGAGGAAGCAGACACCUCAGUCCAAGAAGUUACCUGGGGGUAUGGGCUGCCUGUCCUGACACUUCACACUGGGGAGAAACCAGCCUCUCUGCUGCUCGAUCUUGGGCAUCUGGACCUCUGCUCUACACAACUGCACUGCCUCCGAAUAGCUGCGUACAGGAGGAAACCAUCUGGCAGACAAGGCCAUCUGGAGACUCACAGCCAGGGUGCCAUGGAAAGGGCUGAUCUUUUCCUAGCAAGCCUCAGGCCAGCCUCCUCUAGGUCGCUGUGCCAGUCUGUCAUUGACAUCUCUGUCCACACCUGCCUCUCAGGGUCUUAUAUGAAACUGGCUGUCCAUGCCCAGGGGCAGCACAACACAUGGGCAUUUCUGAUGGGCUUUUCAUGAUGACAGGAUUUCCCCGCCUCACCCAUCAUCAAUAAAUAACCACU